This 448-nucleotide ribosomal RNA is filed under the name uncultured bacterium. RNAcentral's name for it is "partial 16S ribosomal RNA". It matches the Rfam family "Bacterial small subunit ribosomal RNA", at positions 330 to 794 of the family's 1533-position model. The record is from RNAcentral.
GCCAGACUCCUACGGGAGGCAGCAGUGGGGGAUAUUGCACAAUGGGGGGAACCCUGAUGCAGCGACGCCGCGUGGGUGAAGGAGCGUUUCGGCGCGUAAAGCCCUCUCGGCAGGGAAGAAGGAGGACGGUACCUGACUAAGAAGCCCCGGCUAACUACGUGCCAGCAGCCGCGGUAAUACGUAGGGGGCAAGCGUUAUCCGGAUUUACUGGGUGUAAAGGGGGCGCAGACGGCAGCGCAAGCCAGGAGUGAAAGCCCGGGGCCCAACCCCGGGACUGCUCUUGGAACUGCGCGGCUGGAGUGCAGGAGGGGCAGGCGGAAUUCCUGGUGUAGCGGUGAAAUGCGUAGAUAUCAGGAGGAACACCGGUGGCGAAGGCGGCCUGCUGGACUGCGACUGACGUUGAGGCCCGAAAGCGUGGGGAGCAAACAGGAUUAGAUACCCGCGUACC